Molecule: long non-coding RNA, 928 nt
Organism: Glycine soja
Lineage: Eukaryota; Viridiplantae; Streptophyta; Magnoliopsida; Fabales; Fabaceae
Exons: 2
Source: RefSeq, a predicted model, not a curated record
AAUUUAAUUAUUAACAUUUUGUCACUACUUUUUUAUUAUUUAAAUUAUUUUAAAAAUUUCAAUUAUCUUUCUUUGUCUUCUUUAAUAAAAACUACCACCACGGUGUCACCACCUCCAUCCAACCCACACCACCACUGCUGACCAGGUCGUCGACCGCCACCACUGCACCUCCCACGGACAGAUUCUAUUUCAUUUCGAAACCGUAUUUUUGACAUUGUCCGGCCUUAAUUUUUUGCAUUCCGCGAGACACUAACUCACUGAGUUGAGUUUUUUCUUCUUCAGAAAAGUAGGAACGUGAGAAAAUCUUCAAUUCUCUGGGAAAAUCUGUACAAUGGCGCUUAAUUUCUUAUACCACCGUCAUCGCACAUGAGCGUCCUCUUCGAUUUCACACCACUCUCUGCUAAUUGGAGUCUAGUUUGCAGGGAAUUCCUCCUUCCUUUUUCCUCAUCAACAAAUUUUCAUAUAGCAUAGAUUAGAACAUGACAACUAUGAAAAAAAAAUCAUGUAAUCAAUUCAAGGAGAUAUGUGAUCAGUUGAUCUUCAUUUCUUCAAGGUCUUGUGUUUUCUGAAAAGUCUUGGUUUGACUCUGAGACCUGGUUCAGGCAUGAGGAAUCAGGAAGGAAAAAAAAGAAUUUGAUCUUUUUGUGAUUUCCUAUUGAACCUCUGAUGGAAAUCGGUUGAAUUUUGCGAUUGGUUUUGAGGUUUAUAACUCGUUUAUUUUUGAGCUAGUAAGGUUUUGAACCUCUACACAAUUAUCUUUCUUCCCCUUGACGGCGAGGUUGGAGGUGGUGGUGCGGUAGUGGUGAUUUUGGUUGGAGAAGGGGUUGAUUUAUGUUGACGGUGCUGUGGUGGUAGUUGACGGCACGGUUAGCGAUGGUGACAUAGCAGAAUCCAUGGUGGUGCGAUAGUAAUGGUUUUUACUGGAGAA